CCGCUCCAACCUCGCCCCUUCCCGCGCAGGGGCGCUCGCCUUCUUGACUCCAGGCUUGAGAAGAAAAUAGGGAACUGAGAGCUGCAGGACCUCUAGACCUGCGUUAUCGUAUUCUGAUUUUAUUAUUUUACUCUAAUUUUAUUAUUUACAGAGAAUUAAAAAGUCCAAGAGCAACAGAAAGAUGAACCCACAAAAAAUUUUUGAAAGAGAAAAAUAAAUUUGAUAGCGAUUUUUUGCCUGAACUUUGAAAUCCGUGAACCUGACAGUCUGAAUUUGUCUCAGCAGAUUUUCACCUGUUUGACUCUGUUCCGGGAUCAGCUAUGGACUGCAAGCUGAAAUCUGGACUUCCUGGAAACUGACAUGAUUGCUCCCUGCCCCUUCGGGUGGAUCAAUUAACCAGUGCUGCUGGUCAGAAGGAGAGUCGUCCCAGCGCCGCCAUCUUGUCGAAUCUUGAAUUUUGACAUUCUAACCAACAAGAAUUUAUAUACAGGAGAAGUAAUUCUACUUGGGGCACUUGGUGACUUCCAAAUACCACAGAAAGCAUGGCACCACAGCAGAUGGAGCACUUGCAGAUGGUGACAGUGAGGAGACCAUCCACAUGAAGUCAGUCCAUAUGAUAAAAAGAUUGCCAGGUGCCCACUGGAGCAGCCCAACCCCUGAAGAACUGUUUGUCCACUUUCUGUUUCCUACAGACAGAGGAAUGGAAUGCUUUCCUUUUCUUCAGAAAGGGUGGCCAUGGAACCCACUUCUGGCCAGUGAAAUAUAAGAGGCAUUAAAAGAAGCUAGGGCCUUAAGAGGAAUUUUCUUUUAUUAUUUUUAAUUUUUUAUUUAUUUUUUUGUUUGUUACAGUUUAUUUACUUUGUAUCCCAACUGUAGCUUCCUCCCUCUUCCCCUCCCAAUCCCACCUUCCCUCCCUUUUCUUCUUCCUUGCCCCUUCCCCAGUCCACUGAUAGGGGAGGUCCUCCUCCCAUUCCAUCUGACCCUAGCCUAUCAGGUUUCAUCAGGACUGGCUGCAUUGUCUUAUGAGGAGCUUUCUUACUUCUGGCCAAGAGACAAGAGAAUAAAGGAGAAACUGCUGCUUGCCUUCCAUGCUCCCUGCCCUUGAACAUGGUGUGUGAGCAGAGACUUCUGGGAGGGAACAUGGGCAUCACAGACACAGCCACACAAGCACCUGACCUGGUGAGGGAUUGUACACACCAGCAAGCAACAGCUUCCAGACCUCUUGUUAUCUAUGGAAAGAAAAUGACAGUGUGCGUGGGUCUGGAUGGUGGAACCCUGUCUUUCUAACUAGUUGACAAACUCUUUGCAUUACAUAACGAUUGUCCAGCAUCUCAAGGGACCAAAUUACUGUCUAUAGUCAUCCACAAGCAAAAAGAAAACAAGUCCUCCAAAUCCCAUGGAACAGUGUUAUGGGGAUUAUGGAAGGUUAAAGUUCCCUUUCCUGUAACUACAAUAUAUUUAAGCGGUUGUGAGAGAACCCUGUGUGAAAGAAAUAUUUAUGAUCAAAUACAUUAGCUUUUUAAAAAUGGAGUAUUUAUGCAAAUGAAUGAUUCUCUUUAUAAGACAAAUAACUUUUGAGUCCUUCUAAAUGUUAAAUCCUAUUGUCAAUAGAAGGGAACCACAAAAUACUUGCAGUGGUAAAGCAUUGGGCCAAUAGAGGGUUGGUUAUAAAAUAUUACGACAACCUCAUAAAUUCCAUAAGAAGAAGUGGGGAAAUAUUUAGAUGU
Long non-coding RNA from Meriones unguiculatus (Mongolian gerbil), 1727 nucleotides. RefSeq lists it as uncharacterized. The record is from RefSeq and is a predicted model, not a curated record. Lineage: Eukaryota; Metazoa; Chordata; Mammalia; Rodentia; Muridae. The transcript has 7 exons.